Felis catus (domestic cat) is the source of this 498-nucleotide long non-coding RNA. RefSeq lists it as uncharacterized. NCBI's taxonomy places the organism in Eukaryota, Metazoa, Chordata, Mammalia, Carnivora, Felidae. The record is from RefSeq and is a predicted model, not a curated record. The transcript has 2 exons.
GUGACCCAUGAUGCGAGAAGGGAGGGCCAGGCUUGGUGUGGGGAAAGGACACGGUCUGAGGCUGUGAUUUUGGGAAGUAACUGAGCUCUCCUGAGGAGCUGGUCUGGCAGCACCAUAUUAAGCACGGUGAAGACAGACCAGAGACCCCUGGGCACAAAAGCACCGGCGUGUCGCAGUGUCUACUGUAGGACAGACCCACAAAGCCACACGGGAAUGGCAGCCAUGAGCUGGGACAAACGACACCACAGCCAUCCUGCAGGCUCUGUGGGAGGAAACGCCGCUAAGUGGCCCCACGUCCCGCGAAGGAUGAUGUUUGUCUCUCAGAGGGUCAACACGGGCAACUAGACGAAUGGCAGCAAGGUACUUGAGGGUUUGCUUAUGCUCUUUUAGAAAUGAAACAGACCCUGAAACCUCUGUAGAACUGUCUCCCACAGCAGAACGUUCCCUGAACUGUUCAUAAACAAAUUUUGCCAUAUUAAAAGCCAAACAAGCACAAAA